CAGUCGCCGCGGGAAUACAGAGGGUGCGAGCGUUAAUCGGAUUUACUGGGCGUAAAGCGUGCGUAGGCGGCUUUUUAAGUCGGAUGUGAAAUCCCUGAGCUUAACUUAGGAAUUGCAUUCGAUACUGGGAAGCUAGAGUAUGGGAGAGGAUGGUAGAAUUCCAGGUGUAGCGGUGAAAUGCGUAGAGAUCUGGAGGAAUGCCGAUGGCGAAGGCAGCCAUCUGGCCUAAUACUGACGCUGAGGUACGAAAGCAUGGGGAGCAAACAGGAUUAGAUCCCGAGUAGUCCCUGUCUCUUAUACA
Molecule: ribosomal RNA, 301 nt
Filed under: uncultured bacterium
Lineage: Bacteria
Description: partial 16S ribosomal RNA
Rfam family: Bacterial small subunit ribosomal RNA
Source: RNAcentral